UCCAUUCAUCUCAUUUUCAAUACCAUUAUCUUUCAUAACAAAUAUCAUUGCAUUCAUUCCAUUGACAUCAAAAUGUCCAUACAUAAAAAGUUAUUACACAAAAUUUGACAAUUUCUACCUAAGUUGACUUUUGAUCAACUGUUAACUCUUUGGUCAACCAAUUGACCAAAGUCAACUAAUCCUCAUGACUAUCCUAAACCCUAAUCUUUUGAUUCAUUCUUCCAUGAUCCAUCAAAGUCCAUGAUUCUUUGCUAGCUUUCUUCAAGCCUAAGUCACUUGUGUCAAGCCAUGUCCAACCAUCUUUUCAUGUGUGCAUCCUACAAACGACCAACCAAGCCAUGAUUAGCAACAUGCUAACCUAAACUAAGCAUUCAAACCAUCCAAAUUGCACAAUGCCAAGUUGCAUUCUAUUCAAAGCAAUCAUGGCAAAUCAUCAAACAAAACCAA
Molecule: long non-coding RNA, 447 nt
Filed under: Lathyrus oleraceus (garden pea)
Lineage: Eukaryota; Viridiplantae; Streptophyta; Magnoliopsida; Fabales; Fabaceae
Description: Pisum sativum (pea) long non-coding RNA (PSAT_LNC021594)
Source: RNAcentral